Molecule: ribosomal RNA, 327 nt
Filed under: uncultured eukaryote
Lineage: Eukaryota
Description: partial 18S ribosomal RNA
Rfam family: Eukaryotic small subunit ribosomal RNA
Source: RNAcentral
CCCUUAGAUGUUCUGGGCCGCACGCGCGCUACACUGAUGAAUGCAACGAGCUCUACCCUUGACCGAAAGGCCCGGGUAAACUUGUGAAACUUCAUCGUGAUGGGGAUAGAUUAUUGCAAUUAUUAAUCUUCAACGAGGAAUUCCUAGUAAGCGCGAGUCGUCAGCUCGCGUUGAUUACGUCCCUGCCCUUUGUACACACCGCCCGUCGCUCCUACCGAUUGAAUGGUCCGGUGAAAUCUUCGGAUUGCUGACCAAGAUCCAGCAAUGGAGCUUGGUUGCGAGAAGUUGAUUAAACCUUAUUAUUUAGAGGAAGGAGAAGUCGUAACA